GUAGGUGGCAAGCGUUGUCCGGAAUUAUUGGGCGUAAAGCGCGCGCAGGUGGUUCUUUAAGUCUGAUGUGAAAGCCCCCGGCUCAACCGGGGAGGGCCAUUGGAAACUGGGGAACUUGAGUGCAGGAGAGGAAAGUGGAAUUCCACGUGUAGCGGUGAAAUGCGUAGAUAUGUGGAGGAACACCAGUGGCGAAGGCGACUUUCUGGCCUGUAACUGACACUGAGGCGCGAAAGCGUGGGGAGCAAACAGGGAUUAGAUACCCUGGUAGUCCACGCCGUAAACGAUGAGUGCUAAGUGUUGGGGGGGUUUCCCGCCCCUCAGUGCUGCAGCUAACGCAUUAAGCACUCCGCCUGGGGAUACGGUCGCAAGACUG
This 373-nucleotide ribosomal RNA is filed under the name uncultured organism. Its description in RNAcentral is "partial 16S ribosomal RNA". It matches the Rfam family "Bacterial small subunit ribosomal RNA", at positions 527 to 896 of the family's 1533-position model. The record is from RNAcentral.